GGCGACGUAGCCAAGUGGUAAGGCGAGGGUCUGCAAAACCCUUAUUCACCGGUUCGAAUCCGGUCGUCGCCUCCA
This 75-nucleotide transfer RNA is filed under the name Acidobacteriota bacterium. Its description in RNAcentral is "tRNA-Cys". It matches the Rfam family "tRNA". From Rfam's summary of the family: Transfer RNA (tRNA) molecules are approximately 80 nucleotides in length. Their secondary structure includes four short double-helical elements and three loops (D, anti-codon, and T loops). RNAcentral also lists the same sequence under 4 other names. Lineage: Bacteria; Pseudomonadati; Acidobacteriota. The record is from RNAcentral.